RNAcentral lists this ribosomal RNA (373 nucleotides) under uncultured organism. Its description in RNAcentral is "partial 16S ribosomal RNA". It matches the Rfam family "Bacterial small subunit ribosomal RNA", at positions 527 to 896 of the family's 1533-position model. The record is from RNAcentral.
GUAGGUGGCGAACGUUGUCCGGAUUCACUGGGCGUAAAGCGCGCGCAGGCGGACUGGUCAGUCCAGGGGUGAAAUCUCCCGGGCUCAACUGGGAGGAGUCCCCGGAUACUGCCAGUCUUGAGGUGCCUAGAGGAGAGUGGAAUUCAGGGUGUAGUGGUGGAAUGCGUAGAUAUCCUGAGGAACACCAGUGGCGAAAGCGACUCUCUGGGGGCGACCUGACGCUGAGGCGCGAAAGCGUGGGGAGCGAACCGGAUUAGAUACCCGGGUAGUCCACGCCGUAAACGAUGAGUACUAGCUGUAUGGGGUAUCGACUCCCUGUGUAGCGAAGCUAACGCGAUAAGUACUCCGCCUGGGGACUACGGCCGCAAGGCUA